This 305-nucleotide unclassified non-coding RNA is filed under the name plant metagenome. Its description in RNAcentral is "partial contains 5.8S ribosomal RNA, internal transcribed spacer 2, and large subunit ribosomal RNA". The stretch from base 1 to 105 matches the Rfam family "5.8S ribosomal RNA", at positions 50 to 154 of the family's 154-position model. The record is from RNAcentral.
GAAAUGCGAUAAGUAAUGUGAAUUGCAGAAUUCAGUGAAUCAUCGAAUCUUUGAACGCACAUUGCACCCGCCAGUAUUCUGGCGGGCAUGCCUGUUCGAGCGUCAUUUCAACCAUCAAGCCCCCGGCUUGUGUUGGGGACCUGCGGCUGCCCGCAGGCCCUGAAAAACAGUGGCGGGCUCGCUGUCACACCGAGCGUAGUAGCAUACAUUCUCGCUCAGGGCGUGCUGCGGGUUCCGGCCGUUAAACGACCUUCAUAACCCAAGGUUGACCUCGGAUCAGGUAGGAAGACCCGCUGAACUUAAGC